AGGACGAAUGCUGGCGGCGUGCUUAACACAUGCAAGUCGAGCGGUAAGGCUCCUUCGGGAGUACACGAGCGGCGAACGGGUGAGUAACACGUGAGCAAUCUGCCCUUCUCUUCGGAAUAACCAUUGGAACGAUGGCCAAUGCCGAAUACGACCUCCUUUCGCAUGAUCGGAGGUGGAAAGCUCCGGCGGAGAAGGAUGAGCUCGCGGCCUAUCAGCUAGUUGGCGGGGUAACGGCCCACCAAGGCGACGACGGGUAGCCGGCCUGGAGGGGUGGACCGGCGA
This 282-nucleotide ribosomal RNA is filed under the name uncultured soil bacterium. RNAcentral describes it as "partial 16S ribosomal RNA". It matches the Rfam family "Bacterial small subunit ribosomal RNA", at positions 26 to 310 of the family's 1533-position model. The record is from RNAcentral.